UAAUCCUGGAUUAAUUGGCCUUAAUGAAGUUGAAUUAAUUACUAGCUGCUUGUAAAGAACUUUGAACUACCUUAGUACAAAAUGGCAUUAAAGAAACAGAAAGGAACCAGCAUCGCAUUAACAUUAAGAACAAAUCCCAAAUAAUCGCAAUUCUGCAGGCCGUUUCCUGUCAAUCAUUUCCCAGGGACCAUGCUCAGCCUGUGAAACUGUGGGGGACCCCGGAAUCUGCCGCAGAGAAGGAUGUAUUUGUGGACUGGAAGUUUGGGGUCAGUUUCAUGGAGGGUUUUUGUCAUUUACUUCCUCAAACUGUGACUAGUGCGGAACAUAAUAAGGAGGAAGCUUCCUGAAGUUGUGGCAGGCCAAAGGCAUAGCUGUUGGUGGAUGAACGGGUAAGCAAAUGGUGGUCCGUCCACUCAGUGGAAUACUACACAACCACAAGAAGGCAAUCACGAUGUGGUGACAUGUGGCCACGUGGACGAAUCUCAAAUGCACUAUACUAGGGGUGCAGGAACAAGGUGCAGGAACAAGGAAGUUACACCAGGCAUUGGCUGGUUUAAGAUUCCAUUUCUCGGAGAGCCAAAUUUGUAACUAAGUUAAUGCUCAGUUUGGUGACACAGGGCUUCGCAUAAGUGACUCCAUUUUGGGCCGGUUGUCGUGUUUUUAACAGGGUUGAGGUUCAGGGCAGGCUGUCCCCAAAUAUGUCACUUUGGCAUAUGGAUUAUUCGGAAUUAAAGUACUUAGGACACAGUGCAAUAAAACCAUGCUGGCCCUCUUUUGUCUCCCUGAAAGCAGGAAAUAAAUUUCCCACACGAAGGGUACCCGGGUAGAAGACAUCCUUAUCGCCAGAGAUGGGGAAUUCAGGGCCCAGAAGGCUGUAUAAAUAAACCUCGUUUACUUCUUCACUAAUUUGCUAU
Long non-coding RNA from Leopardus geoffroyi (Geoffroy's cat), 914 nucleotides. RefSeq lists it as uncharacterized. The transcript is spliced from 3 exons. NCBI's taxonomy places the organism in Eukaryota, Metazoa, Chordata, Mammalia, Carnivora, Felidae. The record is from RefSeq and is a predicted model, not a curated record.